CUUCCGUAGAGUAACCUGCGGAGGGAUCAUUACCGAGUUUUCAACUCCCAAACCCUUAUGUGAACCUACCUAUCGUUGCUUCGGCGGACUCGCCCCAGCCGGACGCGGACUGGACCAGCGGCCGCCGGGGACCAUCAAACUCUUGUAUUAUCAGCAUCUUCUGAAUACGCCGCAAGGCAAAACAAAUAAAUUAAAACUUUCAACAACGGAUCUCUUGGCUCUGGCAUCGAUGAAGAACGCAGCGAAAUGCGAUAAGUAAUGUGAAUUGCAGAAUCCAGUGAAUCAUCGAAUCUUUGAACGCACAUUGCGCCCGCCAGCAUUCUGGCGGGCAUGCCUGUUCGAGCGUCAUUUCAACCCUCGACCUCCCUUUGGGGAAGUCGGCGUUGGGGACCGGCAGCACACCGCCGGCCCUGAAAUGGAGUGGCGGCCCGUCCGCGGCGACCUCUGCGUAGUAAACCAACUCGCACCGGAACCCCGACGUGGCCACGCCGUAAAACACCCAACUUCUGAACGUUGACCUCGAAUCAG
Molecule: small RNA, 528 nt
Filed under: Beauveria bassiana
Lineage: Eukaryota; Fungi; Ascomycota; Sordariomycetes; Hypocreales; Cordycipitaceae
Description: eukaryotic LSU rRNA
Rfam family: 5.8S ribosomal RNA (bases 195-348)
Source: RNAcentral